Small nuclear RNA from Suncus etruscus (white-toothed pygmy shrew), 104 nucleotides. Lineage: Eukaryota; Metazoa; Chordata; Mammalia; Eulipotyphla; Soricidae. The record is from RefSeq and is a predicted model, not a curated record.
GUGCUCGCUUCAGCAGCACAUAUAUUAAAAUUGGAACUAUACAAAGAUCAGAAUGGCCACUGUGCAAGGAUGACACGCAAAUUCGUGAAGCAUUCCAUAUUUAU